CCUACGGGAGGCAGCAGUGGGGAAUAUUGCGCAAUGGGCGAAAGCCUGACGCAGCGACGCCGCGUGAGGGAUGAAGGUCUUCGGAUCGUAAACCUCUGUCAGCAGGGAAGAACGGUCACUGUGCUAAUCAGCAGUGAAUUGACGGUACCUGCAAAGGAAGCACCGGCUAACUCCGUGCCAGCAGCCGCGGUAAUACGGAGGGUGCGAGCGUUAAUCGGAAUUACUGGGCGUAAAGCGCUCGUAGGCGGUAUGUCAAGUCAAGGGUGAAAUCCCCGCGCUCAACGUGGGAACUGCCUGUGAAACUGGCAAACUGGAGUGUGUGAGAGGAUAGUGGAAUUCCAGGUGUAGGAGUGAAAUGCGUAGAUAUCUGGAGGAACAUCAGUGGCGAAGGCGACUAUCCGGCACAUAACUGACGCUGAGGAGCGAAAGCGUGGGUAGCAAACAGGAUUAGAUACCCGGGUAGUC
Molecule: ribosomal RNA, 465 nt
Filed under: uncultured bacterium
Lineage: Bacteria
Description: partial 16S ribosomal RNA
Rfam family: Bacterial small subunit ribosomal RNA
Source: RNAcentral